RNAcentral lists this long non-coding RNA (230 nucleotides) under Nicotiana benthamiana. Its description in RNAcentral is "long non-coding RNA (NBEN_LNC000924)". Lineage: Eukaryota; Viridiplantae; Streptophyta; Magnoliopsida; Solanales; Solanaceae. The record is from RNAcentral.
UGACAAAAGGAAUAUAUUCUUUGUUUAAUCCUCGAAUAAUAUUCCUUUUCAUUUGAGCCUCCGAAAUAGGUUCCUCCGGAUCAAGAGCAGAAAUUUCCGAACAAAUAUUUUUAACUUUUAAGAAAAAUUCGGAGAUUGAGAGCUCACCUUGAGUAGUUUGUGCCAACUUAUUCUCUAAGUAUUGCAGCCGAGCAACGUUCUUCUUGUUAAGCAAUGCACUUAGAGUAUCC